Molecule: long non-coding RNA, 250 nt
Filed under: Lathyrus oleraceus (garden pea)
Lineage: Eukaryota; Viridiplantae; Streptophyta; Magnoliopsida; Fabales; Fabaceae
Description: Pisum sativum (pea) long non-coding RNA (PSAT_LNC037715)
Source: RNAcentral
UGAGAUUCUGGAAAAUUCUGGGGAAGAAGGAGAUGAUUUCUGGAAAUAUAAGUUGUUUGAUCCACUUCUGCGUUUGAACUUUUGAAUUGGAAGUUUGCCGCGCCCGCGUUUCAAUAUUUACAACUAUGCCAUUAAUGAAAUCCAAUUAAUUAUAUUAAUUCAAAUAAAUUGUAAAAAAUUCAUAAUCACUUUAAAAAAUUCAUAAAAAAUUAUUUAAAAAUCAGAAAAAUGUGUGGAUUUUUUUGUUGAC